UUGUCCUACGGGAGGCAGCAGUGAGGAAUAUUGGUCAAUGGGCGCGAGCCUGAACCAGCCAAGUAGCGUGAAGGAUGACUGCCCUACGGGUUGUAAACUUCUUUUAUAAAGGAAUAAAGUGAGGCACGUGUGCCUUUUUGUAUGUACUUUAUGAAUAAGGAUCGGCUAACUCCGUGCCAGCAGCCGCGGUAAUACGGAGGAUCCGAGCGUUAUCCGGAUUUAUUGGGUUUAAAGGGAGCGUAGGUGGAUUGUUAAGUCAGUUGUGAAAGUUUGCGGCUCAACCAUAAAAUUGCAGUUGAAACUGG
RNAcentral lists this ribosomal RNA (305 nucleotides) under uncultured bacterium. Its description in RNAcentral is "bacterial SSU rRNA". It matches the Rfam family "Bacterial small subunit ribosomal RNA", at positions 334 to 636 of the family's 1533-position model. The record is from RNAcentral.